This 403-nucleotide ribosomal RNA is filed under the name bacterium. RNAcentral's name for it is "partial 16S ribosomal RNA". It matches the Rfam family "Bacterial small subunit ribosomal RNA", at positions 355 to 776 of the family's 1533-position model. RNAcentral also lists the same sequence under 2 other names. The record is from RNAcentral.
UGGGGAAUAUUGCACAAUGGGGGAAACCCUGAUGCAGCGACGCCGCGUGAACGAAGAAGGUAUUCGUAUCGUAAAGUUCUGUCCUAUGGGAAGAUAAUGACAGUACCAUAGAAGAAAGCUCCGGCUAAAUACGUGCCAGCAGCCGCGGUAAUACGUAUGGAGCGAGCGUUGUCCGGAAUUAUUGGGCGUAAAGGGUACGCAGGCGGUUUAAUAAGUCGAAUGUUAAAGAUCGGGGCUCAACCCCGUAAAGCAUUGGAAACUGAUAAACUUGAGUAGUGGAGAGGAAAGUGGAAUUCCUAGUGUAGUGGUGAAAUACGUAGAUAUUAGGAGGAAUACCAGUAGCGAAGGCGACUUUCUGGACACAAACUGACGCUGAGGUACGAAAGCGGGGGGAGCAAACAGG